Hippocampus zosterae (dwarf seahorse) is the source of this 71-nucleotide non-coding RNA. NCBI's taxonomy places the organism in Eukaryota, Metazoa, Chordata, Actinopteri, Syngnathiformes, Syngnathidae. The record is from the annotation of a RefSeq genome assembly.
GCAUUGGUUGUUCAGUGGUAGAAUACUCGCUUCCCAAGCGAGUGGCCCGGGUUCGAUUCCCGGCCAAUGCA